Drosophila biarmipes is the source of this 339-nucleotide long non-coding RNA. RefSeq lists it as uncharacterized. The record is from RefSeq and is a predicted model, not a curated record. The transcript has 2 exons. NCBI's taxonomy places the organism in Eukaryota, Metazoa, Arthropoda, Insecta, Diptera, Drosophilidae.
GAGGCAUGCAGCUUCAUUGCGCUAAUGCAACAGAUUCCGCGUUAUAUACUCGUGGAACUUCGUCGGACUGCUCUUUGGGACCAACAACACCUUGACGUCACACCAUUAUUGGAUUGACCAUCACCAAUAAGUCGGAUCGCACGCAAUGGUGAUUUGCUUUUCUCCGCAAUUCUUUUCCCAAGAAACUUGUUGUAUUUAAUCUUCGGUCAAAGGACAGAAAAAGCCCCUGUCCAAAAACAUUGGCAACUGCCACAGUUAAUCGAAAUUAAUUUUAGUUGUAUAUUUGUAAUAAGGUAUUCAGUUCUAAUUUUAUAAUAUAAAAACUGUUUAAAAUCACAA